RNAcentral lists this ribosomal RNA (688 nucleotides) under Shewanella sp. 22. RNAcentral describes it as "bacterial SSU rRNA". It matches the Rfam family "Bacterial small subunit ribosomal RNA", at positions 70 to 751 of the family's 1533-position model. The record is from RNAcentral. Lineage: Bacteria; Pseudomonadati; Pseudomonadota; Gammaproteobacteria; Alteromonadales; Shewanellaceae.
CACAAGUGAGUUUCUUAUGAGGUGGCGAGCGGCGGACGGGUGAGUAAUGCCUAGGGAUCUGCCCAGUCGAGGGGGAUAACAGUUGGAAACGACUGCUAAUACCGCAUACGCCCUACGGGGGAAAGAGGGGGACUUUCGGGCCUCUCGCGAUUGGAUGAACCUAGGUGGGAUUAGCUAGUUGGUGAGGUAAUGGCUCACCAAGGCGACGAUCCCUAGCUGUUCUGAGAGGAUGAUCAGCCACACUGGGACUGAGACACGGCCCAGACUCCUACGGGAGGCAGCAGUGGGGAAUAUUGCACAAUGGGGGAAACCCUGAUGCAGCCAUGCCGCGUGUGUGAAGAAGGCCUUCGGGUUGUAAAGCACUUUCAGUAGGGAGGAAAGGGUAAGUCCUAAUACGGCUUAUCUGUGACGUUACCUACAGAAGAAGGACCGGCUAACUCCGUGCCAGCAGCCGCGGUAAUACGGAGGGUCCGAGCGUUAAUCGGAAUUACUGGGCGUAAAGCGUGCGCAGGCGGUUUGUUAAGCGAGAUGUGAAAGCCCUGGGCUCAACCUAGGAAUCGCAUUUCGAACUGACCAACUAGAGUCUUGUAGAGGGGGGUAGAAUUCCAGGUGUAGCGGUGAAAUGCGUAGAGAUCUGGAGGAAUACCGGUGGCGAAGGCGGCCCCCUGGACAAAGACUGACGCUCAUG